This 45-nucleotide non-coding RNA is filed under the name Schistosoma bovis. RNAcentral also lists the same sequence under 1 other name. Lineage: Eukaryota; Metazoa; Platyhelminthes; Trematoda; Strigeidida; Schistosomatidae. The record is from RNAcentral.
AUUCAGCUGACGAAUCCCAAAUAGGACGAAACACGCGUCCUGGAU